This is a transfer RNA of 76 nucleotides. It matches the Rfam family "tRNA". Rfam says of the family: Transfer RNA (tRNA) molecules are approximately 80 nucleotides in length. Their secondary structure includes four short double-helical elements and three loops (D, anti-codon, and T loops). Further hydrogen bonds mediate the characteristic L-shaped molecular structure. tRNAs have two regions of fundamental functional importance: the anti-codon, which is responsible for specific mRNA codon recognition, and the 3' end, to which the tRNAs corresponding amino acid is attached (by aminoacyl-tRNA synthetases). tRNAs cope with the degeneracy of the genetic code in two manners: having more than one tRNA (with a specific anti-codon) for a particular amino acid; and 'wobble' base-pairing, i.e. permitting non-standard base-pairing at the 3rd anti-codon position.
GGGGGCGUAGCUCAAUUGGCAGAGCACUGCCUUUGCAAGGCAGGGGUUCGGGGUUCAAAUCCCCGCGUCUCCACCC